Regulatory RNA element from Clostridium cadaveris, 171 nucleotides. It matches the Rfam family "Lysine riboswitch aptamer". Rfam says of the family: Riboswitches are metabolite binding domains within certain messenger RNAs that serve as precision sensors for their corresponding targets. Allosteric rearrangement of mRNA structure is mediated by ligand binding, and this results in modulation of gene expression. This family includes riboswitches that sense lysine in a number of genes involved in lysine metabolism, including lysC. The record is from Rfam. NCBI's taxonomy places the organism in Bacteria, Bacillati, Bacillota, Clostridia, Eubacteriales, Clostridiaceae.
UAUGUAAAUAGAGGCGCAGUUAAAAAGAGUAAUGAGAAAGAGGUAGACAGACCUAAGAUAGCUCAUGAAAGGGUUGAUUGCCGAAGAAGGUGUGUAUGUCAGCACAUCUAUCUGGGAUUUGAUUUAAUAAAUCAAGUACUCUCACUAUUAAGUGAUGGAGCUAUUGCAGAU